AAACAAACAAACUCAUAUUUCUCUUGGACCAUAGGAGACAUCGGAGAUGAGGCUCAGCUCAAUUCCGUCCGGACUGUGGCCGCAGCCUCAUUGCUUUCAAUCCUUCAAUCCCCGUGAUGCGUCCCCGCUGGAGCACGUGGUGACUUGAACCAGGAGCCAGUGAUAUUUGGGUCACGGCUUGGAUAGAUCCGUCUUAGUGGACUUGCCUUUUGAACGGUAUGACUAUACCUUCCUCUGUGGUCGCAUCUCUGUUCUUAUUUAUAGUACUGUCAAAAACGCAAUUUCUGGUACGUAUGGAAAUUCGGGAAAGGUUAUAUAUACCAAUGUAUGAGGCUCGUAAUGCGUUUGAUCUAUAUCUAUUCAUCCGAAAAUUGUGAUCCCACAGUCGGUGUUCCGGGAAGCCUCUAUCCGGGCUUGGUCCGUCCUUCGACUCGGGAAUUUUUUUUUGUGAAUUAGUAGAUUGCUCACUGUUGGCGCUCCGGGAAGCCUAUAUAUGGGUUUCAUCCUUCGUUCAACACUGAAUUUUUUUUAAUUUUUUUUAUCGUGUACGUAUAUAAAUUAGACUUGAUCACUGUUGGUGUCCCGAGAAACCUAUAUAUGGGCUUGGUCCAUCGUUCGACGGUCAUUUUUUUUUAUUGCCA
This is a long non-coding RNA of Triticum aestivum (bread wheat), 641 nucleotides long. RefSeq lists it as uncharacterized. The transcript has 3 exons. NCBI's taxonomy places the organism in Eukaryota, Viridiplantae, Streptophyta, Magnoliopsida, Poales, Poaceae. The record is from RefSeq and is a predicted model, not a curated record.